This 358-nucleotide long non-coding RNA is filed under the name Lathyrus oleraceus (garden pea). Its description in RNAcentral is "Pisum sativum (pea) long non-coding RNA (PSAT_LNC037512)". Lineage: Eukaryota; Viridiplantae; Streptophyta; Magnoliopsida; Fabales; Fabaceae. The record is from RNAcentral.
AAAUCUUUCCAUCCCUCAGACCCUUUUCUAUGCGGUCUCCGAUUGUGACCAGAUGUGCAAAAUCGGAUGCUGCGCUGCUCACUAAUCUAUCAAAAAAUGGGUCCUUCAACGUGUCCACAAAUAUUCCAGUCAUUUCCUUUUCAGACAAUGGUGGCUCUACCUGAGCAGCCAACUCUCUCCAUCGCUGGGCGUAUUCUUUAAAGGACUCCUUUUCUUUCAUUGCCAUCCCUUGCAACUGCAUUCGGUCGGGUGCCAUAUCCAAAUUAUAUUUGUACUGACGGAGAAAUGCGUCAGCCAAAUCUUCCCAGCUUUGAAUCCGCCCUUGCUCUAAGCUCAUGUACCAUCUUAGAGACGCUCC